RNAcentral lists this unclassified non-coding RNA (340 nucleotides) under soil metagenome. Its description in RNAcentral is "partial contains 5.8S ribosomal RNA, internal transcribed spacer 2, and large subunit ribosomal RNA". The stretch from base 1 to 120 matches the Rfam family "5.8S ribosomal RNA", at positions 35 to 154 of the family's 154-position model. The record is from RNAcentral.
GAUGAAGAACGCAGCGAAAUGCGAUAAGUAGUGUGAAUUGCAGAAUUCAGUGAAUCAUCGAAUCUUUGAACGCACAUUGCGCCCUUUGGUAUUCCAAAGGGCAUGCCUGUUCGAGCGUCAUUUGUACCCUCAAGCUUUGCUUGGUGUUGGGCGUCUUGUCUCUAGCUUUGCUGGAGACUCGCCUUAAAGUAAUUGGCAGCCGGCCUACUGGUUUCGGAGCGCAGCACAAGUCGCACUCUCUAUCAGCAAAGGUCUAGCAUCCAUUAAGCCUUUUUUUCGACUUUUGACCUCGGAUCAGGUAGGGAUACCCGCUGAACUUAAGCAUAUCAUAAGCGGAGGA